Molecule: non-coding RNA, 735 nt
Organism: Ictidomys tridecemlineatus (thirteen-lined ground squirrel)
Lineage: Eukaryota; Metazoa; Chordata; Mammalia; Rodentia; Sciuridae
Source: RefSeq, a predicted model, not a curated record
UGUGUAUUCACCAAGCAGUACCCCAUAUAUCAUCUGUGGACAUUUUAAAGAAACCAUAGAAAUGUCUAAAAAGCCUCUGAAGAAGGAGCUGAGGAUAAUCUGGAGGUACCUUUCCAACUCUGUUGUGCUGUGGUUCCAGGAAAGUUCCUGAACAUAGAAAUACUGCCUUCACUCAUAGUGUUUUUCACAGAUCCAUUUUUGAAGAAAGGGUCAGUGUGACAUAGUGGAAAUUAGCGUUUCACUCCAAACUCUGAGAAAGAGCCUAAAUCCACAGACAUUCAAAAACAGGGCAAGUACACAUGCUGCAAGGACAUGGAUUAUCUGAAGACUCCAGUGGACUGGAGAGCAUGAAUUCUAAAUCAAAAUGGUAACUGCUACACUGUUCGCAUGUCACUAAACGCAUCAUGUAGCCCACAGUGAGCUGCCAGAAGCAAGAAGGCAGGUCCUGACAAUCCUGAGAACAUCCACUGACUUUCUUACUCAAACAUUCAUUUAUAUGGCAGUUUCUCUCAUCUGAACCAUCGCCACAGUCAUCCUUAUUGUCACAAAGACCUCCGCUGGGAAUGCACCUGCCAUUUUUGCACAUAAAAAAUGAACUGUUGCAUGACUGUUCUGGAAAAAGAAAACAAAUGGAACAUAAAGGGCAUGCCUUUUUAUACUAUAGUUGGUGAAAAUAUUCACAAAUAUAAUAACUUAUCUGUCAAAUUAUAAUAAAUAUAUUUACACUUAAAAUAA